CCUACGGGAGGCAGCAGUUAGGAAUCUUGCACAAUGGGCGAAAGCCCGAUGCAGCAACGCCGCGUGGACGAUGAAGGCCUUCGGGUCGUAAAGUCCUUUUCAGAGGGAAGAAACGGACGGUACCUCUGGAAUAAGCCUCGGCUAACUACGUGCCAGCAGCCGCGGUAAUACGUAGGAGGCGAGCGUUAUCCGGAUUUACUGGGCGUAAAGAGCGCGUAGGUGGUCUCGUAAGUUGGGCGUGAAAGCCCCCGGCUUAACCGGGGAGGGCCGUUCAAUACUGCGAGACUUGAGGGCGGAAGAAGAGACUGGAAUUCCCGGUGUAGUGGUGAAAUACGUAGAUAUCGGGAGGAACACCAGUGGCGAAGGCGAGUCUCUAGGCCGUUCCUGACACUGAGGCGCGAAAGCGUGGGGAGCGAAGGGGAUUAGAUCCCCCUGUAGU
This 439-nucleotide ribosomal RNA is filed under the name uncultured Chloroflexota bacterium. Its description in RNAcentral is "uncultured Chloroflexi bacterium partial 16S ribosomal RNA". It matches the Rfam family "Bacterial small subunit ribosomal RNA", at positions 338 to 794 of the family's 1533-position model. Lineage: Bacteria; Bacillati; Chloroflexota. The record is from RNAcentral.